CCUACGGGUGGCAGCAGUGAGGAAUAUUGGUCAAUGGGCGUAAGCCUGAACCAGCCAAGUCGCGUGAGGGAUGAAGGUUCUAUGGAUCGUAAACCUCUUUUAUAAGGGAAUAAAGUGUGGGACGUGUACUGUUUUGUAUGUACCUUAUGAAUAAGGAUCGGCUAACUCCGUGCCAGCAGCCGCGGUAAUACGGAGGAUCCGAGCGUUAUCCGGAUUUAUUGGGUUUAAAGGGUGCGUAGGCGGCCUUUUAAGUCAGCGGUGAAAGUCCGUGGCUCAACCAUAGAAUUGCCGUUGAAACUGGGAGGCUUGAGUAUUGUUGAGGCAGGCGGAAUGCGUGGUGUAGCGGUGAAAUGCUUAGAUAUCACGCAGAACCCCGAUUGCGAAGGCAGCCUGCCGAGCCAUGACUGACGCUGAUGCACGAAAGCGUGGGGAUCAAACAGGAUUAGAUACCCUGGUAGUC
This 460-nucleotide ribosomal RNA is filed under the name uncultured bacterium. RNAcentral describes it as "partial 16S ribosomal RNA". It matches the Rfam family "Bacterial small subunit ribosomal RNA", at positions 338 to 795 of the family's 1533-position model. The record is from RNAcentral.